RNAcentral lists this ribosomal RNA (253 nucleotides) under uncultured bacterium. Its description in RNAcentral is "partial 16S ribosomal RNA". It matches the Rfam family "Bacterial small subunit ribosomal RNA", at positions 524 to 776 of the family's 1533-position model. The record is from RNAcentral.
UACGUAGGGGGCUAGCGUUGUCCGGAAUCAUUGGGCGUAAAGCGCGUGUAGGCGGCCCGGUAAGUCCGCUGUGAAAGUCGGGGGCUCAACCCUCGGAUGCCGGUGGAUACUGUCGGGCUAGAGUACGGAAGAGGCGAGUGGAAUUCCUGGUGUAGCGGUGAAAUGCGCAGAUAUCAGGAGGAACACCGAUGGCGAAGGCAGCUCGCUGGGACGGUACUGACGCUGAGGCGCGAAAGCGUGGGGAGCGAACAGG